UCCAGGCGUUAACCAGGUUUACAACCAACUAAUUGCUAGUUGCAGCUAGCAAGAAGCCUGCUUCUGCACGAGAGUUCAAAAGUUCUUUCAGAUAUUUGCUGUCACCAUCUGUCAUACAAGCAGUAAAUAACUGUCAGCGUUUAUAAUCAGUUAUUCUUCACAUGCCACAUCCUCACUGAAGUAUCUCGGGAGCUCAAUGAACCAUUUGACUGACAAGGUUUGAAAGAUUUUUGUAUGUGUUAGUGUAAUUGUAAGAAAUAUACACUCAAGAAGUGAUCUGUAGUCAACACUUCAUGUUAUAGAAACUUAACAUUUUUAACUGUUGUCUGCCUUUAAAGUGAACUAAAGGUGGUUUUGAAGGUUAAUGUGUGAUAAAGUUGCCAGCUGGAUUUGUACAUCCAGCAUCAGCCAGUGAAGAAAAUUAGCAGUGAAAUUUAAGAUAACCCUGACUUAAAAUACUUGGCUUUGGUCAAUACUUGCGGGAACUUUAAGAAACAGAAUCACCAGUAUAUUGUUUCCUAUUUGUUUCUUGUGCUAUCAUCAAUAAAGUGCUUGCAUGUAGAAAAAUUAA
Pezoporus occidentalis (night parrot) is the source of this 571-nucleotide long non-coding RNA. RefSeq lists it as uncharacterized. NCBI's taxonomy places the organism in Eukaryota, Metazoa, Chordata, Aves, Psittaciformes, Psittacidae. The transcript is spliced from 2 exons. The record is from RefSeq and is a predicted model, not a curated record.